Molecule: ribosomal RNA, 253 nt
Filed under: uncultured bacterium
Lineage: Bacteria
Description: partial 16S ribosomal RNA
Rfam family: Bacterial small subunit ribosomal RNA
Source: RNAcentral
GACGUAGGAUCCGAGCGUUGUUCGGAAUUACUGGGCGUAAAGGGCGCGUAGGCGGCCUACUAAGUCAGACGUGAAAUCCCCCGGCUUAACCUGGGAACUGCGUCUGAUACUGGAAGGCUUGAGUAUGGGAGAGGGAUGUAGAAUUCCAGGUGUAGCGGUGAAAUGCGUAGAUAUCUGGAGGAAUACCGGUGGCGAAGGCGGCAUCCUGGACCAUUACUGACGCUGAGGCGCGAAAGCUAGGGGAGCAAACGGG